This 252-nucleotide ribosomal RNA is filed under the name uncultured bacterium. RNAcentral's name for it is "partial 16S ribosomal RNA". It matches the Rfam family "Bacterial small subunit ribosomal RNA", at positions 524 to 776 of the family's 1533-position model. The record is from RNAcentral.
UACGAAGGGGGCUAGCGUUGUUCGGAUUUACUGGGCGUAAAGCGCACGUAGGCGGAUCUUUAAGUCAGAGGUGAAAUCCCAAGGCUCAACCUUGGAACUGCCUUUGAUACUGGGGAUCUUGAGUCCGGGAGAGGUGAGUGGAACUGCGAGUGUAGAGGUGAAAUUCGUAGAUAUUCGCAAGAACACCAGUGGCGAAGGCGGCUCACUGGCCCGGUACUGACGCUGAGGUGCGAAAGCUGGGGAGCAAACAGG